Molecule: long non-coding RNA, 350 nt
Organism: Xiphias gladius (swordfish)
Lineage: Eukaryota; Metazoa; Chordata; Actinopteri; Istiophoriformes; Xiphiidae
Exons: 2
Source: RefSeq, a predicted model, not a curated record
AGAGAAGGCGUGCUCACAAAUGGGCUAAUUGUUGGACACCUUGCUAGCUAGCACCUACAAAAACCACAGACAGAAGAGAAACACCGAAGGACCAGCGACUGACCUCAGUUCAGUUAACACGGAAAAGGUGUAACAUCCUAGCUCACCGUGGACCGUCAGCCCCUCCUGACGGGCUGCUGACGGCGCUGUCAGCCGGACUCUCGGCCACACUGGACGGCGGUGGAGGAAGGUGUACCAGCGUCUGGCUCAGAGGACGUUUAGUUGACUUCACUGUCAGUCAGCACCGGACCUGAGAGCGUCGGCGCGGACAACGCAGACGUUAACAUCACCCGUCUCGGCUUCCAUCCCAG